Molecule: ribosomal RNA, 702 nt
Filed under: Triticum aestivum (bread wheat)
Lineage: Eukaryota; Viridiplantae; Streptophyta; Magnoliopsida; Poales; Poaceae
Description: partial small subunit ribosomal RNA
Source: RNAcentral
GAAAGCUAUCUUGCUCAUUUCGGUGAUACUUUCAUGGAGGAUGCUGAAGGUGAAGGGGAAGGUGAAGGGGAAGGUGAAGGUGAAGGUGAAGAAGAGGCACGUGAUGAGACCAUUGAUGAUCUUGGUCGGACCAUUGCUAACGCACGGAGACGCUGCGAAACUGAAAAGGAGAGGGAGAAUUUGGAUCGCAUGUUAGAGGAUCACAGAAAGUCGUUGUACCCUGGAUGCGAUGAUGGUCUGAAAAAGCUGGGCUGCACACUGGAUUUGCUGAAAUGGAAGGCACAGGCAGGUGUAGCUGACUCGGCAUUUGAAAACUUGCUGAAAAUGUUGAAGAAUAUGUUUCCAAAGAAUAACGAGUUGCCCGCCAGUACGUACGAAGAAAAGAAGGUUGUCUGCCCUCUAGGUUUAGAGGUUCUGAAGAUACAUGCAUGCAUCAACGACUGCAUCCUCUACCGCGGUGAAUACGAGAAUUUGAAUGAAUGCCCGGUAUGCACUGCAUUGCGUUAUAAGAUCAGAGGCGAUGACCCUGGUGACGAUGUUGAGGGCGGGAAACCCAGGAAGAGGGUUCCCGCCAAGGUGAUGUGGUAUGCUCCUAUAAUACCACGGUUGAAACGUCUGUUCAGGAACAAAGAGCAUGCCAAGUUGUUGCGAUGGCACAAAGAGGACCGUAAGUCGGACGGGGAGUUGAGACACACCGCAGAU